RNAcentral lists this ribosomal RNA (472 nucleotides) under [Clostridium] sp. S9. RNAcentral describes it as "bacterial SSU rRNA". It matches the Rfam family "Bacterial small subunit ribosomal RNA", at positions 8 to 475 of the family's 1533-position model. The record is from RNAcentral. Lineage: Bacteria; Bacillati; Bacillota; Erysipelotrichia; Erysipelotrichales; Coprobacillaceae.
AGAGUUUGAUCAUGGCUCAGGAUGAACGCUGGCGGCGUGCCUAAUACAUGCAAGUCGAACGCGAGCACUUGUGCUCGAGUGGCGAACGGGUGAGUAAUACAUAAGUAACCUGCCCUAGACAGGGGGAUAACUAUUGGAAACGAUAGCUAAGACCGCAUAGGUACGGACACUGCAUGGUGACCGUAUUAAAAGUGCCUCAAAGCACUGGUAGAGGAUGGACUUAUGGCGCAUUAGCUGGUUGGCGGGGUAACGGCCCACCAAGGCGACGAUGCGUAGCCGACCUGAGAGGGUGACCGGCCACACUGGGACUGAGACACGGCCCAGACUCCUACGGGAGGCAGCAGUAGGGAAUUUUCGGCAAUGGGGGAAACCCUGACCGAGCAACGCCGCGUGAAGGAAGAAGGUUUUCGGAUUGUAAACUUCUGUUAUAAAGGAAGAACGGCGGCUACAGGAAAUGGUAGCCGAGUGACGG